RNAcentral lists this non-coding RNA (62 nucleotides) under bovine gut metagenome. RNAcentral describes it as "pemK RNA". It matches the Rfam family "pemK RNA". The record is from RNAcentral.
AUAAUGAUACUUCCGUCGAGGGACGGCUCGGUGAGAACCACGGAGGGGUAGAACGGCCCAUG